This is a long non-coding RNA of Drosophila sulfurigaster albostrigata, 1068 nucleotides long. RefSeq lists it as uncharacterized. The record is from RefSeq and is a predicted model, not a curated record. Lineage: Eukaryota; Metazoa; Arthropoda; Insecta; Diptera; Drosophilidae. The transcript is spliced from 3 exons.
UGGAGCGGCGUGCUGUGUGCUAAAAGCGGCAGGUGUAAAAAUAAAAUCCAAGUGAAGCUGCUGUUUGGCAAAUUGUGUUGCAUACUUUUUGGCGCGAGCAUAAAAUAGUUUACAUUUGUGGCGAGACUCGGAGAGCUUGAGCUUGUAACUGAAGUUGAAUGAAUGUGAAAUGUGACAGACGCAGUGACAGUUGAACAUUUGCAACAACAACAACGUGAACUAGCAGUGGCAACAAACAAACAAACACAAAAAAAAAAAAAAAAGAAAGACAGCAAAACAAGAGGAAUAAAGUCAAAGCAGACGGCACAAGUUACCGUUGCGGUACUGGGACUUCAACUGGCCAUCUUCCUUCUCCUCAGUCUCGUCCCGCUUGUUUCCUGGUCCUGGUUGGCCCCAGGAGACAUUUAACAUAAUAAAAACGAACGUGUGCGGCAUUCGUUGCUGUUUUUGUCAAGUUUUUGUAACACUCGCUCACUCUGUUUGCGUGUGUGUCUGUGUGUGUGUGUGUGUUUGUGACUGACUGUGCUUGUGUUGGUUUUGUUUAAUGCUAAUAACACACAGACACUCACGCACACACCCAGCAAGCAAACUCACACAGUUAGUCGAAACAAUAUUGCAAAUGUGUGCGGCAAAGCAGUUGGCAAAAGUGUCGUAAAUCGUUUAGACGGCAAACGUGGCAAGCGCCCAGGACACGGACUUGGACACAGAUCCUUACAGCAGCAGCAGCAGGACGAUAUGUAAACGACAAUACCACCGUGGGAAAAACAAAAAAAAAAGAAGAAAAUAAUACGUAAGCAACUGUGAAAGGAGCAACAGCAAAAGCGGUGGCGCCACAGCAUGCUGCCGUCUGCCAUUUCGAUAGCGAGUCCUUUUGCACAGUUCAUGUGAACGAAACUAAUGAAGCUGAAAUUAAAAGACUGAAAAACACGAAGAUAAAAUAUGGCAAAUGUGUAACAACUUUUUAAAGUUCUCUGGCGAAUAAGAUUGGUUGUCGACCUGGAAAUCUCUCUCGAAGCGAGCAGCACGGCCACUUCAAAUAUAUAUUAUUUAUUCUUAAAAAAAAAAGAA